CAUUACCUAGCGGCGGACGGGUGAGUAAUGCUUAGGAAUCUGCCUAUUAGUGGGGGACAACAUUCCGAAAGGAAUGCUAAUACCGCAUACGUCCUACGGGAGAAAGCAGGGGACCUUCGGGCCUUGCGCUAAUAGAUGAGCCUAAGUCGGAUUAGCUAGUUGGUGGGGUAAAGGCCUACCAAGGCGACGAUCUGUAGCGGGUCUGAGAGGAUGAUCCGCCACACUGGGACUGAGACACGGCCCAGACUCCUACGGGAGGCAGCAGUGGGGAAUAUUGGACAAUGGGGGGAACCCUGAUCCAGCCAUGCCGCGUGUGUGAAGAAGGCCUUUUGGUUGUAAAGCACUUUAAGCGAGGAGGAGGCUACUAGUAUUAAUACUACUGGAUAGUGGACGUUACUCGCAGAAUAAGCACCGGCUAACUCUGUGCCAGCAGCCGCGGUAAUACAGAGGGUGCGAGCGUUAAUCGGAUUUACUGGGCGUAAAGCGUGCGUAGGCGGCUGAUUAAGUCGGAUGUGAAAUCCCUGAGCUUAACUUAGGA
Molecule: ribosomal RNA, 538 nt
Filed under: uncultured Acinetobacter sp.
Lineage: Bacteria; Pseudomonadati; Pseudomonadota; Gammaproteobacteria; Moraxellales; Moraxellaceae
Description: bacterial SSU rRNA
Rfam family: Bacterial small subunit ribosomal RNA
Source: RNAcentral